AGGAAUAUUGGUCAAUGGGCGAGAGCCUGAACCAGCCAAGUAGCGUGAAGGAUGACUGCCCUAUGGGUUGUAAACUUCUUUUAUAAAGGAAUAAAGUCGGGUAUGGAUACCCGUUUGCAUGUACUUUAUGAAUAAGGAUCGGCUAACUCCGUGCCAGCAGCCGCGGUAAUACGGAGGAUCCGAGCGUUAUCCGGAUUUAUUGGGUUUAAAGGGAGCGUAGAUGGAUAUUUAAGUCAGUUGUGAAAGUUUGCGGCUCAACCGUAAAAUUGCAGUUGAUACUGGAUAUCUUGAGUGCAGUUGAGGCAGGCGGAAUUCGUGGUGUAGCGGUGAAAUGCUUAGAUAUCACGAAGAACUCCGAUUGCGAAGGCAGCCUGCUAAGCUGCAACUGACAUUGAGGCUCGAAAGUGUGGGUAUCAAACAGGAUUAGAUACCCUGGUAGUCCACACGGUAAACGAUGAAUACUCGCUGUUUGCGAUAUACUGCAAGCGGCCAAGCGAAAGCGUUAAGUAUUCCACCUGGGGAGUACGCCGGCAACGGUGAAACUCAAAGGAAUUGACGGGGGCCCGCACAAGCGGAGGAACAUGUGGUUUAAUUCGAUGAUACGCGAGGAACCUUACCCGGGCUUAAAUUGCAGAUGAAUUACGGUGAAAGCCGUAAGCCGCAAGGCAUCUGUGAAGGUGCUGCAUGGUUGUCGUCAGCUCGUGCCGUGAGGUGUCGGCUUAAGUGCCAUAACGAGCGCAACCCUUGUUGUCAGUUACUAACAGGUUCCGCUGAGGACUCUGACAAGACUGCCAUCGUAAGAUGUGAGGAAGGUGGGGAUGACGUCAAAUCAGCACGGCCCUUACGUCCGGGGCUACACACGUGUUACAAUGGCAUGGACAAAGGGCAGCUACCUGGUGACAGGAUGCUAAUCUCCAAACCAUGUCUCAGUUCGGAUCGGAGUCUGCAACUCGACUCCGUGAAGCUGGAUUCGCUAGUAAUCGCGAAUCAGAAUGUCGCGGUGAAUACGUUCCCG
Molecule: ribosomal RNA, 1015 nt
Filed under: uncultured bacterium
Lineage: Bacteria
Description: bacterial SSU rRNA
Rfam family: Bacterial small subunit ribosomal RNA
Source: RNAcentral